UACGUAGGGUGCGAGCGUUGUCCGGAAUUACUGGGCGUAAAGAGCUCGUAGGUGGUUUGUCGCGUUGUUCGUGAAAACUCACAGCUUAACUGUGGGCGUGCGGGCGAUACGGGCAGACUGGAGUACUGCAGGGGAGACUGGAAUUCCUGGUGUAGCGGUGGAAUGCGCAGAUAUCAGGAGGAACACCGGUGGCGAAGGCGGGUCUCUGGGCAGUAACUGACGCUGGGGAGCGAAAGCGUGGGGAGCGAACAGG
Molecule: ribosomal RNA, 253 nt
Filed under: uncultured bacterium
Lineage: Bacteria
Description: partial 16S ribosomal RNA
Rfam family: Bacterial small subunit ribosomal RNA
Source: RNAcentral